UCCCUCCUUGAUCACUUAAAAACUUUAUUAAAAGAAACAAAACUCACCAGAGUUCCAGAGCUGAACUUAAUUUUAAAAAUCCAGCUACUCAGAAUCUCCUCAGAUUCAAAGUUCUCCGGAAGUUCCCUCCUACACCGCGCCCAGAAGUAGGGGGCGGUGUGGUCCCUCCCUAGCACCGGAUUGGUUCAAUUCAAGACCAAUCCCACACCAGAAAGUAGGCAUGGUACCUCCCCCAUCAUGGGAUUGAUCCAUUCAAGAUGAAUUCCAUGCUAUGACAUAAGUAGGAUACAGUUCCCCUGGCCACAACUUUUUAAAAUCCACAAUAUCUACCAAACUUAUAAAAUGUUACCUGAUACAACUAUAUUGUUAACCCUUGAAUUUAGUUGAGAAAUAUCAACUUCAUCUUGUGUGAAUUAGGGACAGAGCCUGAGAUGUGAGUGUAGACACUUUCCAGGACUGGUUGUGCAUCCAAAAGUAAGUUCGUCAUUCAAAAAAGAUCCUCAUUCCUUAUCUACUUCUUAUGACACAUCCAAGACUUUGGGUGGCAAGCUGUCUAUGUGUCAAAUUCUCCUUCAGAUGACUGUAUCUCACAUCUGAUGUUGACCAGGAGUUGCAGACUUGGAGCAAGGGCAUCUUGUGACAUUUCAGAAUCUGACAAUGACGAGCACAUUUCCUGAGGUCUGAACUUCCCAGGCUAGAGUCAGUGGCUAUCCUGAACAAGAGCUGGACAGUUUCAUACUACACACUAUGACUUUUCCAAAGGGAGCAUUUUGCUAAAACUAUGAGAUGGAAAGCCUGGGACAAAUACUAGACACAUGCCAGGGCUCCCUAGUAGUCUGGGUUCAAUAUGAUGAACUACCAAAGCACAUAUUCUCUCUAGGUGAAUAAAUAAAUGAGUGAAUUAAUGAACAAAAGAAUAAAUGAAAAGUAUUAAUCA
This 937-nucleotide long non-coding RNA is filed under the name Monodelphis domestica (gray short-tailed opossum). RNAcentral's name for it is "lncRNA (ENSMODG00000044256.1)". The record is from RNAcentral. Lineage: Eukaryota; Metazoa; Chordata; Mammalia; Didelphimorphia; Didelphidae.